RNAcentral lists this ribosomal RNA (249 nucleotides) under uncultured bacterium. Its description in RNAcentral is "partial 16S ribosomal RNA". It matches the Rfam family "Bacterial small subunit ribosomal RNA", at positions 84 to 334 of the family's 1533-position model. The record is from RNAcentral.
AUUGCUGGCGACCGGCGCACGGGUGAGUAACACGUAUCCAACCUGCCGAUAACUCGGGGAUAGCCUUUCGAAAGAAAGAUUAAUACCCGAUGGCAUAAUUAGACCGCAUGGUUUGAUUAUUAAAGAAUUUCGGUUAUCGAUGGGGAUGCGUUCCGUUAGGCAGUUGGUGAGGUAACGGCUCACCAAACCUUCGAUGGAUAGGGGUUCUGAGAGGAAGGUCCCCCACAUUGGAACCGAGACACGGUCCAA